GACGAACGCUGGCGGCGUGCCUAAUACAUGCAAGUAGAACGCUGAAGGAGGAGCUUGCUCUUCUGGAUGAGUUGCGAACGGGUGAGUAACGCGUAGGUAACCUGCCUGGUAGCGGGGGAUAACUAUUGGAAACGAUAGCUAAUGCCGCAUAACAGUAGAUGUUGCAUGACAUUUGCUUAAAAGGUGCAAUUGCACCACUACCAGAUGGACCUGCGUUGUAUUAGCUAGUUGGUGGGGUAACGGCUCACCAAGGCGACGAUACAUAGCCGACCUGAGAGGGUGAUCGGCCACACUGGGACUGGGACACGGCCCAGACUCCUACGGGAGGCAGCAGUAGGGAAUCUUCGGCAAUGGACGGAAGUCUGACCGAGCAACGCCGCGUGAGUGAAGAAGGUUUUCGGAUCGUAAAGCUCCGUUGUAAGAGAAGAACGAGUGUGAGAGUGGAAAGUUCACACUGUGACGGUAUCUUACCAGAAAGGGACGGCUAACUACGUG
Molecule: ribosomal RNA, 495 nt
Filed under: uncultured bacterium
Lineage: Bacteria
Description: partial 16S ribosomal RNA
Rfam family: Bacterial small subunit ribosomal RNA
Source: RNAcentral